Molecule: ribosomal RNA, 253 nt
Filed under: uncultured bacterium
Lineage: Bacteria
Description: partial 16S ribosomal RNA
Rfam family: Bacterial small subunit ribosomal RNA
Source: RNAcentral
UACGAAGGGGGCUAGCGUUGUUCGGAAUUACUGGGCGUAAAGCGCACGUAGGCGGAUACUUAAGUCAGGGGUGAAAUCCCGGGGCUCAACCCCGGAACUGCCUUUGAUACUGGGUAUCUCGAGUCCGGAAGAGGUGAGUGGAAUUCCGAGUGUAGAGGUGAAAUACGUAGAUAUCUGGAGGAACACCGGUGGCGAAGGCGGCAUCCUGGACCGAUACUGACACUGAGGAGCGAAAGCCAGGGGAGCAAACGGG